RNAcentral lists this long non-coding RNA (491 nucleotides) under Pan troglodytes (chimpanzee). RNAcentral describes it as "long non-coding RNA NONPTRT016387". The record is from RNAcentral. Lineage: Eukaryota; Metazoa; Chordata; Mammalia; Primates; Hominidae.
GCCCCUUUAAGUUUCCAUAGAGAGGCCUCUCUGGUGUCACAUGAUGGACAUGAUAUAAUGAAACAACAUUGUGGAGAGGAAAGCAUUAGGGGAGCCCACGGCUACAAAAACAAGUGAGUGAGAAGAGGUGGGAGGAAGAGAAACUACGCCACCUCCCCUGCAGCCGAGUGCACGCAGCAGCCUGGCGUGACAAGUGGGCGACGCCGGGGGGCAGGGAGCCGGGGUCCUUGGCCCUGGCCGGGGACCCCACCGCCCACCGCGCGGAGGACAACUUUUAGCCGGCAGCCCAGACCAGCGCGGCACCUGUCUCCGGAGUCUCCACCGCUCCUCCCGAUUCAUCCCAGGGAAAUUCUCAAGAAUACGCUCUACAAAUCUACGUGCGCAUCAUUUUCACCUCGCGUCGCGCCCGGGAGGAAGGAACGAGGCAAGGAGCUAAAGCAGCGUGCGUUCAGCCCUGGGGAGAAAAAUCAAGACGUUCCCUUCAGUCCUCC